Molecule: long non-coding RNA, 1061 nt
Filed under: Sus scrofa (pig)
Lineage: Eukaryota; Metazoa; Chordata; Mammalia; Artiodactyla; Suidae
Description: lncRNA (ENSSSCG00005031146.1)
Source: RNAcentral
CCCCAUCCCCGUGUCCCCCGCCCUCCUCGGGGACACGUCAGACCCGACGUCCACUGGCCGCGCCCAGCGUUUAGGCAGGAAGACCAGCAAACAGGUGUUUGUCAGCUACAACCUCCAGAACACGGACAGCAGCUUCGCGUUACUCGUGGAAAACAGGAUCAAGGAGGAGAUGGAGGCUUUCCCGGAGAAGUUCUAGGCGGCGGCCGUGGGGCUGGGACCCGCCCUGCGGACUCGGAAUAAAUGCGGCGGCUCUCGCCAGGCCUCAGGCUCACGCGCUUACCUUUGCUUUCAAGGCUCGGCCCUCCUUCUGCCGCCCCUCCCGCUCCCGCUGGCCGGGAAGGAGGGAAGCCCAGGGCUGGGCCGGGGUGCGGUGCGGACAGAGGGGCUGCCCUGGUGCCUGGAGAGGACGCGGUGGCCACGGCUCCGUCAGGAUCGAGGCCCAGGGCAGGGCUGGAACGGUCCUUCCGUCCUGCCUCCCGCCCGCUCGCCUCUGGGCCCUGUGUCCUCACCUGUGAGUCGGGAAGGGUCCCGUUUGUCGUGCCAGGUUAGUGCGAGGCGGCUUCGCCAACCCUGGCACCGUGGAAACGAAGGUGCCGACCGACUGCAGCUCUUGGGAGCCAAGCCCCCCCCCCAGCCCAGGUCAGUGGUUCCUGACCUGGCUUCAGGUCAAAUCUGCGCUGGGGGCCUUUACCAGCCCCAGGGGCCCAGGCCCGGUGGGGUCGCAAAGCCCCCCAGGUGCGUCUCAGCACGGGCAAGGCCGAGGCACUGGUCAAGGGCUCUCCAGUUCUUGGGGUCCAUUGGGACCCCUUUUGUCAUGAGAGGCAGGUGGUCUUGGGCCCAGUGAUAGCCUUGGCGCCAGCCUGGUGUCGAGCGCGUGUGGGCAGCCAGGGUGCCGCCACUUCGGGAUUAGGCCUGGGGGUCAAGGCGUUUAAGUCUGAGGCCCUGGCCCCAAACAUGGCUUGGGAGCCAGCGGGCACCCCUCUGGGCAGAGUGCGUAACAGAAAAUCGGGGAUAUGGAGAGUUUGGUAUAAAUACUUUAUUAAAGAAAUAUUGCUUUCCGG